Molecule: long non-coding RNA, 1056 nt
Filed under: Oryctolagus cuniculus (rabbit)
Lineage: Eukaryota; Metazoa; Chordata; Mammalia; Lagomorpha; Leporidae
Description: lncRNA (ENSOCUG00000039536.1)
Source: RNAcentral
AAAUGAAGUUAUAUGUCAAAUGUUCUCACUGGAAAGUUAAUUUACAAUAAAAAGAUGCAAUAACUAUCUCAAAACAACCUAAUGGCAACAGUGAGCUCUCUGUUCUGGGUAUCCUUAGAAUAAUUGGCCUUUUAGUUGAUUUGACUAACUGACAGUUGAAACACUGAUAAUUACCUAUGGCAUGCUUUACUUUUGAUUUUGUAUUAGAAUACUCUCCUAAUGAAUGAAUGUAUAGUAUCUUUAAGCAAUUGUAUUUGACUGUUUUUCAAUGUUUUGCCUUCAUCUAAGUAAUUCUCUAUGGAAAUAUGUGCACACAUCAAUAGCUACAGAGGAGGCUUUUUAAUUUAAUUAAAAGAAAAGCAGCACACCCAUGAGGCCUCUUUAUGAUUAAACAAUUGUGACUUAAAAAUAGUAUAUUAAUUUUAUCAAUUUACCAGGAUAUCAUUUCAACUUUAUGACAAGCUUUCAGGUUUAUUUAGGAACAGUCACAAUCCAUAAUAUUAUAAUCUUAAUAGCAUAUGCUUUAUGGUGUUCUUAGUAUACAGGGGAUUAUGAACAUUGAAAAUCUUUAAUUCAUUUGUGGUAAGGGCUUUUAGUAGUAAUGUUUUCUCAAUAGUUGGUAGAUCUAAACUGAGCCUUAUGGUUGGUUUCAGCUCUGUAGAAACAUCCUGCAAGGUAAUCUGUGGAAUAUUACAUUGGCUCAGUCAGAAACGAGGUGAUGAUUGCAUACACUGAUGAUAAAAUUCCCAAGAAAGAAGCAAAAAAAAUCCCUCAAUUUUCUGUGUUUAAGCCAGAAUUUAAAUUCUUGAGUUGAGGGUGAGUAUAUGGGAGCAUGUAAACUGUUACACAAUGAUCACUGUCUGUUGCUGUCUAAACAUGACUAAAUUUUCACUUUUCAUUAGGAAGCCCUGGCUUGUAUGAGUCACUAUUUCUGUACAACCUUCUACAGGAGAAAAAAAUUGUAUUACAGUGUUACCAGGGAUAUACUGUGUGCAUACCAUCUCUAAAUAUAAAUGUUAUCUUGUCACAGUCAUUGUUUUACAUCUAAAAUUUUUC